UACGUAGGGUGCGAGCGUUGUUCGGAAUUACUGGGCGUAAAGGGUGCGCAGGCGGCCUCGCAAGUCGGGUGUGAAAUCCCCGGGCGUAACUUGGGAAUUGCGCUCGAAACUACUUGGCUUGAGGGUGGCAGAGGGAGGUGGAAUUCCACGUGUAGCGGUGAAAUGCGUAGAGAUGGGGAGGAACACCGAUGGCGAAGGCGGGCGCCUGGGCAAACACUGACGCUGAGGCACGAAAGCGUGGGGAGCAAACAGG
This 253-nucleotide ribosomal RNA is filed under the name uncultured bacterium. Its description in RNAcentral is "partial 16S ribosomal RNA". It matches the Rfam family "Bacterial small subunit ribosomal RNA", at positions 524 to 776 of the family's 1533-position model. The record is from RNAcentral.